This 325-nucleotide ribosomal RNA is filed under the name Campylobacter magnus. RNAcentral's name for it is "bacterial SSU rRNA". It matches the Rfam family "Bacterial small subunit ribosomal RNA", at positions 1 to 325 of the family's 1533-position model. The record is from RNAcentral. Lineage: Bacteria; Pseudomonadati; Campylobacterota; Epsilonproteobacteria; Campylobacterales; Campylobacteraceae.
UUUAUGGAGAGUUUGAUCCUGGCUCAGAGUGAACGCUGGCGGCGUGCCUAAUACAUGCAAGUCGAACGGACAAGUAAGAGCUUGCUCUUAUGAGUUAGUGGCGCACGGGUGAGUAAUGUAUAGUUAAUCUGCCCUACACUGGAGGACAACAGUUAGAAAUGACUGCUAAUACUCCAUACUCCUUCUUAACAUAAGUUAAGUUGGGAAAGUUUUUUCGGUGUAGGAUGAGACUAUAUUGUAUCAGCUAGUUGGUGAGGUAAUGGCUCACCAAGGCUAUGACGCAUAACUGGUCUGAGAGGAUGAUCAGUCACACUGGAACUGAGAC